CAGCCGCCGCGGUAAUACGUAGGUGGCAAGCGUUGUCCGGAAUUAUUGGGCGUAAAGCGCGCGCAGGCGGAUCAGUCAGUCUGUCUUAAAAGUUCGGGGCUUAACCCCGUGAUGGGAUGGAAACUGCUGAUCUAGAGUAUCGGAGAGGGAAGUGGAAUUCCUAGUGUAGCGGUGAAAUGCGUAGAUAUUAGGAAGAACACCAGUGGCGAAGGCGACUCUCUGGACGAAAACUGACGCUGAGGCGCGAAAGCCAGGGGAGCGAACGGGAUUAGAUACCCCCGUAGUCCCUGUCUCUUAUACA
This 301-nucleotide ribosomal RNA is filed under the name uncultured bacterium. RNAcentral's name for it is "partial 16S ribosomal RNA". It matches the Rfam family "Bacterial small subunit ribosomal RNA", at positions 509 to 809 of the family's 1533-position model. The record is from RNAcentral.